Molecule: ribosomal RNA, 274 nt
Filed under: uncultured bacterium
Lineage: Bacteria
Description: partial 16S ribosomal RNA
Rfam family: Bacterial small subunit ribosomal RNA
Source: RNAcentral
AUACGAAGGUCCCAAGCGUUAUUCGGAAUCACUGGGCGUAAAGAGUACGUAGGCGGUUUGGUAAGUCAGGUGUGAGAUCCCGAAGCUCAACUUCGGAACUGCAUCCGAUACUGCCAGACUAGAGUAAUGGAGAGGCAGGUGGAAUUCUCGGUGUAGCAGUGAAAUGCGUGGAUAUCGAGAGGAAGACCAAUGGCGAAGGCAGCCUGCUGGACAUUUACUGACGCUGAGGUACGAAGGCUAGGGGAGUGAAAGGGAUUAGAUACCCCAGUAGUCC